AAGGUGGAGUAACAGUAUCGGUUACAAAGGUGUGAACCAAGCGGAUAUGUACAUUUUCAAUAAUUUAAGGAUUUUUUACGAGGUAUGGUUGAUUGUUCACCGUAUUCCUUAAUCAUGAGGUCGGAAGUUCGAUUUUUCUCUAUAAGAAUGAAAUACGCUUUAUGGCCAGCUGUUUAUUGCCUUGUGCUAACACUCGCGAC
Molecule: long non-coding RNA, 200 nt
Filed under: Linum usitatissimum (flax)
Lineage: Eukaryota; Viridiplantae; Streptophyta; Magnoliopsida; Malpighiales; Linaceae
Description: long non-coding RNA (LUSI_LNC000016)
Source: RNAcentral